CGCUGAACCUGGUGAAGAGGACGCAUGGACCUAAAGGAUACCGCUGAACACCUAGAAAUCGCAGAGAGGCUGCAGAUGACAGAAAGUGUUCAUCUGGAAUUACAGACCAGAAGAGUCAGGAAUUCAGGAACCAACAGGAUUGAUGGGUAUCUCUGCCCAUUUACUCAUUCAAUGGAUAUUUACAGAGUAUCUAUUAUAUAGACUAUCUACAGGCACAGGAGUACUCGGUCACAUCAAUGAAAAAACCAGGUCAGCUCUCCCAUACCUCCUAGGCCGAUACUGUACAACGCAGUAGCCGCUAGUCGCAUGUGGCUACAGACAGAGAAAAUUACACGCUCAGUAUCUUGGUCACAUUAGCUCCAUUUCCAGGGCUUCACAGCCACACUGUGGCUUGACCGCCAGCACAGGUGCAGGGCGUUUCCAUCAGCUCAGAAAGCCACACCGGGGAGUGUUGUUCUAGACGAGCAGAUAAGAAUAGAUGAUUGAUUGACUGACUGGUAUGUCAGAUGCAAAGAAAAGUGUGGUAAGGAGAGAAACUAAUAAUGGGAAGGUGAGGAGAAAGGAGGGUAUUUAGAGAGAAAGUGAGGGAGCGAGUUUGGAGACAUCUGGACAGAGUCUUCCAAGCACUGGUAACACA
Molecule: long non-coding RNA, 637 nt
Organism: Myotis brandtii (Brandt's bat)
Lineage: Eukaryota; Metazoa; Chordata; Mammalia; Chiroptera; Vespertilionidae
Exons: 2
Source: RefSeq, a predicted model, not a curated record